CCCGCCUUAGCUCAGAGGUAGAGCGUGGGACUGUAGGAUCCCAUGGUCCCCGGUUCAAAUCCGGGAGGCGGGA
This 73-nucleotide transfer RNA is filed under the name Archaeoglobus fulgidus DSM 8774. RNAcentral describes it as "tRNA-Tyr". It matches the Rfam family "tRNA". From Rfam's summary of the family: Transfer RNA (tRNA) molecules are approximately 80 nucleotides in length. Their secondary structure includes four short double-helical elements and three loops (D, anti-codon, and T loops). The record is from RNAcentral. Lineage: Archaea; Methanobacteriati; Methanobacteriota; Archaeoglobi; Archaeoglobales; Archaeoglobaceae.